Molecule: ribosomal RNA, 497 nt
Filed under: uncultured bacterium
Lineage: Bacteria
Description: partial 16S ribosomal RNA
Rfam family: Bacterial small subunit ribosomal RNA
Source: RNAcentral
GAUGAACGCUGGCGGCGUGCCUAAUACAUGCAAGUCGAGCGAACAGACGAGGAGCUUGCUCCUCUGACGUUAGCGGCGGACGGGUGAGUAACACGUGGAUAACCUACCUAUAAGACUGGGAUAACUUCGGGAAACCGGAGCUAAUACCGGAUAAUAUAUUGAACCGCAUGGUUCAAUAGUGAAAGACGGUUUUGCUGUCACUUAUAGAUGGAUCCGCGCCGCAUUAGCUAGUUGGUAAGGUAACGGCUUACCAAGGCAACGAUGCGUAGCCGACCUGAGAGGGUGAUCGGCCACACUGGAACUGAGACACGGUCCAGACUCCUACGGGAGGAAGCAGUAGGGAAUCUUCCGCAAUGGGCGAAGGCCUAACGGACCACCGCCGCGUGAGUGAUGAAGUUCUUCGGAUCGUAAAACUCUGUUAUUAGGGAAGAACAAAUGUGUAAGUAACUAUGCACGUCUUGACGGUACCUAAUCAGAAAGCCACGGCUAACUACGUG